AACGAACGCUGGCGGCAUGCCUAACACAUGCAAGUCGAACGAGACCUUCGGGUCUAGUGGCGCACGGGUGCGUAACGCGUGGGAACCUGCCCUUAGGUUCGGAAUAACUCCCCGAAAGGGGUGCUAAUACCGGAUAAUGUCUUCGGACCAAAGAUUUAUCGCCUUUGGAUGGGCCCGCGUUGGAUUAGCUAGUUGGUAGGGUAAAAGCCUACCAAGGCGACGAUCCAUAGCUGGUCUGAGAGGAUGAUCAGCCACACUGGGACUGAGACACGGCCCAGACUCUUCCGGGGGGAAGAGGGGGGAAAUUUGGAAAAAGGGGCAAAGGCCUGACCAAGCAAGGCCGGGGGAGGAAGGAAGCCCUGGGGGUGGAAAACUUUUUUUCCCCGGGAGAAAAAUAACAGUCCCGGGAGAAAAAGCCCCGCCUACCCCCGUG
Molecule: ribosomal RNA, 433 nt
Filed under: uncultured bacterium
Lineage: Bacteria
Description: partial 16S ribosomal RNA
Rfam family: Bacterial small subunit ribosomal RNA
Source: RNAcentral